GUUCAGCAAAGUAAGAUCUACAAAUAAGUCAGCAUGAUCAAAAUUGUUAGAGGACCCCUUAAGGAGUUAUUGCCCUUUAUAGUCAAUAUUGAACAACUUUUCGUCAUUUUUGUAACUUGUAUAAAAAUCAUUUCUAAAACUACUUGGCCAAAUUUAACCAAACUUGGCCACAAUCAUAAUACUAGGGUAUCUAUUUAAAAAAAAGUGUCUAAUGACCCCGCCUACCAACGAAGAUGGCCGACAUCAGUAAACACAUUAACAGGUGAGCGACACAGGCUCUUGAGAGCCUCUAGUUUUUUUUAACUGGAUGUGAUUGUCAUAGCAUGGUCACAUGAAUGGUUUGACUUGUCCAGUCCAGGCCACUUAUCAGUUGUUUGUGCUCAAUUUGAGUGUAUUUAUUUAGAUUAUCAAUCCUUCUGCUUUCAAGCACUUUCCAAAAAUGGAAACAAAUUAUUUUCAGGAAAAAAAUAAUUUCGAUUUUUUUUGUGGAAAAUAAUUUUUUGACCCGGGCGCUUAUUUUUGACCCGUGUGGGGGGAGGGGAAACAAACAUAUUUUUAAUUUUGGCCUUAGAUUUUUUAAGCAUAGGUCUACUUGUUGUAUGGAAUGACUACAAGGUAUCAUAUAAAAAAAGAUGUCUGCCUGCCA
Molecule: long non-coding RNA, 646 nt
Filed under: Mytilus galloprovincialis (Mediterranean mussel)
Lineage: Eukaryota; Metazoa; Mollusca; Bivalvia; Mytilida; Mytilidae
Source: RNAcentral